AGCCUACGGGACGCAGCAGUGAGGAAUAUUGGUCAAUGGCCGAGAGGCUGAACCAGCCAAGUCGCGUGAGGGAAGACGGCCCUACGGGUUGUAAACCUCUUUUAUAUGGGAAUAAAAUGUUCCACGUGUGGGAUUUUGUAUGUACCAUAUGAAUAAGGAUCGGCUAACUCCGUGCCAGCAGCCGCGGUAAUACGGAGGAUCCGAGCGUUAUCCGGAUUUAUUGGGUUUAAAGGGAGCGUGGGUGGAUUGUUAAGUCAGUUGUGAAAGUUUGCGGCUCAACCGUAAAAUUGCAGUUGAAACUGGCA
Molecule: ribosomal RNA, 305 nt
Filed under: uncultured bacterium
Lineage: Bacteria
Description: bacterial SSU rRNA
Rfam family: Bacterial small subunit ribosomal RNA
Source: RNAcentral